CCCUUAGAUGUUCUGGGCUGCACGCGUGCUACACUGAUUAUUUCAACAAGUGUUUUAACUGGAGAGUUUGCGUAAUCCUGAAAUGUUAUCGUGAUGGGAGUAGAGUAUUGUAUUUGUUAAUCUUUAACGAGGAAUUCCUAGUAAGUGUAGGUUUAUAAGUUGUUCUGAUUACGUCCCUGCCCUUUGUACACACCGCCCGUCGCUCCUACCGAUUGAAUGUGUUGGUGAGGAGCUCGGAUUGGCAGCAGUUGGUGGUUCGCCACCGGCUAUUGCUGAGAAGUCCUCCAAACCGCCCCAUUUAGAGGAAGGAGAAGUCGUAACA
RNAcentral lists this ribosomal RNA (322 nucleotides) under uncultured eukaryote. Its description in RNAcentral is "partial 18S ribosomal RNA". It matches the Rfam family "Eukaryotic small subunit ribosomal RNA", at positions 1470 to 1796 of the family's 1831-position model. The record is from RNAcentral.